Molecule: long non-coding RNA, 20938 nt
Filed under: Homo sapiens (human)
Lineage: Eukaryota; Metazoa; Chordata; Mammalia; Primates; Hominidae
Description: HSALNT0141037
Source: RNAcentral
GUCAGAGUGUAACUUCCUGGUCACCUGAGGCAGAGAAAGCCUGGGGCCUGGGCCAGGGAGGGGUGGGGUCUUCUGAGGGGGCCUGAGCCCGAGAGGGGUGGAUUCUCCUGAGGGCCUGCUCUGUUGGCUGCUCCUGGUGACCUUGAAUCUACUUUCUGCUGCUGAGAAUUUACCUAUUUUGGAUGCUUCAUGAGACGAUUCCUCUUAGCAAAAGGGCACUGUGUACCCUCCAAGGCUGGAAAUGAUAGGUUUUCGGCGAGGAGUGAAAAUAUUGUGCUGACAGCCCUUUGCCUGUGUAGAGCAGGGUUGUUUACUCGCGCUGGAGCACAGCUUUAUUGAAGCAGAGAGUCAUGGUCCCAUCAUCAGGGUUGCCUAGCAACCAGUCUACGCCACUCCACAGAGUUUCAGAAUGGGCUGGACCACAAGUACCCACUUUGGGGGAUUUCCAGUGACAGUCCUACUCUCACUCCAUCACAUCGCUUCUAAAAUCUGAGUCACAUGGUUCAAAUUUCACAGUACAAAGUGUGUUCUUCAGAUCUGGGGUUCUCUCCAAAAUGGAUAAUCAUUAUUGAUUUUGUAAUGCAAUGCCAAGACCAUCAGUAAGCCUGGACCCACGCCUUCAUCAAUCUACUGUCAGGGAUAGAUUGUGCAUUUUCUGUGUCCCAGUGGGUGCCCCCCCCCCAAAAUAGAGCAGACAAAGCCUGGCCUGCGAGGGUACUGGUUUAGUUCAACAAAUAUCCAUAGAAUGCCCACUUAGGCAAAAUGGCAUAGGGCAGAUUGCCAAAAUCAGGGUUGACUCGGCCUGGAGCCAUGAAGUGGGUCCAACAGGUCUCUGAACUGAGGCAGGAGGCCCCAGGAUCCCGAGGUGUGCUGUAAAGCCUUUGAUGACAGCAUCUUGUGCCUAACACCUGACCACAUCUGAGCCACUAGAGACAGUACCUGAUAAGGAUGCAGAUGCCUGGGCCCUACCUUCCAAAGUUCUGGCUCAGUAGGUCUGGGGGAAGACCAGUAAUCUUCAUUUUAACAAAGACCACUGACGGUUCUGAUGCAGGUGGUCCAAGGACCACACCUGGAGAAACUUCCACCUCUAGGAGCAUCUGGGGUAAAAACUUCACCCAAACUUCCUAAGGUCACAACAUAUCCCCCCCAACAGAGGAAGCAGUAACUUUUGGCCACAGCCCCUAGAGAGGGGAUUUGCCUGGCGUUUCUAUACUGUCCUCUGUCCAAGGACAAAGUGUGCCUUACCCCACAACUGCUUUGUGGUUAAAAGCUUCUAUUGAGGGAUAGUUUAUUUACUUCUAGCACUAUGAAGCAAUAUAGUGAGGUUUUUGUUUCCUUUGAAUCCCAGUCAUUUUAUGCUGCAGAAAAUCUAGAGUUUUUGCCACAGUGGAGGACUCUGCUUAAGGACUACCUAUCUGGGUCUGGUAAUAGCUACCCCAACCCAACGGUCCUGAACGAGUAAUAUGGUUCGACUGUUUCCCUCCCCACCUCCAAAUCUCAUCUUGAAUUGUAGUUCCCAUAAUCCCCACGUGUUGUGGGAGGGACCUGGUGGGAGGUAAUUGAAUCAUGGGGGCGGUUAGCCUCAUGUUGUUCUCCUGAUAGUGAGUUCUCACAAGAUCUGAUGGUUUUAUAAGGGGUUUUUCCUCCUUUUGCUUGGCACUUCUUGCUGCCACCAUGUGAAGAAGGACAUAUUUGCUUCCCCUUAUGCCAUGACUGUAAGUUUCCUGAGGCCUCCUGAGCCAUGUGGAACUGUGAGUCAAUUAAACCUCUUUCCUUUAGAGAUUACCCAGUCUCAGAUAUGUCUUUAUUAGCAGAGUGAGAAUGGGCUAAUACAAUGAGAUAGAACUUAAAUCCCCUGCAUGCUCAUCAGAGGAGGCUCCAUAGAAGAUCAUGGACCUUGAACAAGGUGCAAGUAAGCCUAGAUGCAAUGCAAUGGAUUAGGGAUUCCAGGCUUGAAAACCAGUGGGAAGGAAGGGGUCAGGUGGGAGUGGUCCUCAGUUCCUGUGUGGGCUCUGGCAUCAGGCAGCACACAGGAGUCUUCCCUGCUGGUGGGGAGAGAAAGAGGCAGUAGAAGGGGUCCCGAGCUGGAAGGAUCAGCAGCCACUGCAGACUACUGAUGGAGGCAGUGCCAGGGAGGAAGAGGGUCGUGCCUAGUGGUGUCCAGGCAUUGGCAUGCAGGAGGCAGUCCAGGCACUGGUACCCGGGAGAGUUAAAACUGGGGGAAGGGAAGACAGCAGGGGAUUCUCACAAGGAAUGUGGAGCAGAGGCCCAGGCAGGGGGCCAUCAAGGUGGAGAGGACUGAACCUGGAAAUGGAAGCUUUCCAAGUCACACAUUGAAGAGUAUCAGCAAGGUCUUAAGCCCUGGAACAGUGAGGGAUGGCAUCAGGACAAACUGAGGUCAGUGAGUGUGUUGGCAGCGGACCAGGCUCCGAACGGCACAAACUCCGUCUGGGAUGGGGAAUCUAGCAGAAGACCUAGGAAGAAUUUGAAGAGGGUUCAGAGGUGAAUUAGGGAUGCUUGUAGCUUUUGUGUGGGCAGUGCGUUACUGGGGUGUAGUCCUCAUUGAAGGCCCAAGAUUCUGCCUCUAAGGGUGUAACUCUGCUGAAUCCAGCACCUGAGAGGCUGUCCAGAGCAGGCAGGAGGUCAGCUGUCAGGCUGUGGGCCCAGUUUUAGAGUCAAAUUGAAUUUCCAGUGGGGAAGACCAAAGCUGAAGUCCAUCCCCCAGAGGAUGAGAGAAAGGAAGGCUGCAGCUCAGGCAGCUCAGGGAGUCUGAGGCAGCAAACGAGCUCUGGACCUUGAAGUGGGGAGAGGAAGUCCUUUCACCUCAUCACAGUGCUCACAUCACCUCAGAAACCAGGUGGGACACACAGCUGUGACAGGUGAGAGAUGAUUCCAUUGGUGCCUGGGAUACCAGAUUCAUGCUGGGAAGUAGGAUGGAUGUGGUGGUUUGCAAAAGGCUUUGUCUGCUAAAUUGAGGAUACUGGAUCAUACCCCAAGAGAAAGGGGAGCUCCAAUGGAAAAGCCACCUGCAUCAUGAUGCUGCCUGUCACUUGACUGAGCGUUCCUGCUGCCCAGAAGCUCCUGUUGUCCUCCCAACUGACGGGAUGCUCUUGGACAGUGAUGCCAGCUGGAAUUAAGACUGGGUUUCCAAGGCCACUGUGACCACCAUGAUUAAUGUGAGUAUCGCCAGGUCUUCUCCACACAGGCCCCCUCAGCAUGGUUGUCCCCAAAGCCCUGACCCCAGCUUUUCCUGGUUUUCUGCUUCCUUUAGCAAUCCCUACUGCUAGGGCUCCAACAUGCCUCAGCCAGAAAGCUGUCAUCUCUUUCCUGGGAACAUUCCUUAAGAAAGAACCAUCAUGGGGUUGGAUGAAACUAAACUUGCAAAGAAGGUGAUGUGUAACCAAGUUGGAGUGUGGAGUGUGGGGUCAAAGAUGAUGGCAUUCUGUGUGGAUCCGCAGUGGUAGGAAUGGAGGUGAGGAGGAAGAAAUGAAUCCAGGAGGCAGCGUGACAGAAAACACAGACUUUGGUGACGACAUGUGAGAAGCUGUAAACUGAUAAGAAGAAAAGACGUCUCCAGCACGUUUGGGUUAGUGUCAUCAACCCAUGGAUCCUGCCCACAGCAAGACUUGGCCCAGUCACAACCCCCUUUCUAGCAAUGUGGAGAUAAAUGUCUUCAACAGAAAGGGUUGGGAAUCCCAUGUGACAGCCGAGCUCUGUUCUGCCUUUGACAGAGUCUGAUGCGAAGUGGAUCAUCUCAGGGAUGUGCCUUGCUGGCUUCACCCACCUGGAGCCUCAGGGGAAGUCUCAGGUGGGAGAUGUUAAUUUGAGAGGCCUGGGUAUAAAAGUAAUCCCAAGAUGUCACAAGAUAGAAUACUUUCUCUGAGGCACAAACAGGGAGAAAAACAAGAACAGAACCCCUUAGCAGGACACUCAUAAUAAGAAGAAUUAGGAAAAGAAAAGGGAACCCGGGGUGACACAAAACUGGGGGAGUCUGUUACCACAAGGUAGAUGGCUACCUCCAGUUGGACAAAUUUCCAUGGACCACCAUGCAAUUUCUGGAGAUGCCGCCUUUGAUCCCCUCUUCUCCCUUUGCUCCUCCCUCAUCUCCACACUCAAAGUGCACAUUAUUCAGAUGUCCAGCACGCCCCUAAAUCAACUUGACUUCUCUUGUUCCUUGGCAGAUUCAAGGACCAGCCUUCAUUGGAUUUGGGGUGGAAGCUACAUGCUUGUGUCAAGGGUUGUAAUCCCAAGUCUGGUCCUGUUUUCUGCAAACAAUAUCAUUGUAAACACAUUGAAUGUGUCUGAAUGGGAUUCACAUAACCUAUUCAAAGGUUAAUAUCACAAGACUGAUACUGAGCUGGAAGCUCUGAAAUGUACUUGUGCUCAGGGAAGAUAUUUGCUAAUGUUUGGCUUUAAUUUCCCCUGGAACUUGUACACAUCAGUGAGGCCUGGGGAUAAUGAAUAACAGCAUGGACAAUAAAUUUUAAAACAAACAAAAUAAAAACUCAAAGAACAUUAAUGCAGACCAGUGCUGGGAUAUGAUGUGUGUUACAAGAGAGUAAUGAUUACUCUUGGUGAGCAGAUUCUAUUAUCUGCUUCUUAGGAGCAAUAGGUGGCUGCCUCUUGAUUGUAUUAGUCCUGGAGUUAUAAAAUCCUCAGUCCUUUACAAUGCAAAAGUGACACAUGGGGCGAGUAAGCAGGUAAGAGAAGGAGCAAUUGGAGGAAGAGAAAUGAGAUCUGUGGCAGGGGCUAUUGGCUUUCCACUAAAACCCAUUCUCUACUUCUUGCUGGGCAAGAACUAGGCAGUAUUUACCAGCCCCUCUUGCAUUUGGGGUGGCCACAAACGAAUUCUGGCCAGUGGAGUGAGGGGCUUCUCAGACAGCAGCCUGCCCCUUCCACACUCCUGUUCCCCUUGCAGUGGCUCAAAGCCCUUGGGUGAUGAUGGAGCCAUAGCUGGAAGAAGCCUGGGUCCCUGGGUCCCCCGUGGAGCCUCCACGCGGGAAGGUGGUCUAGAAAUACACUUCCAUAUUUCAGCCAGCAUGCCUUGGGAUCUUUUUUUAAUGGUGGUUCAGCCUACCCUAACUAAAGCUGGGCCCACUCAGCACGCCCCACACAGGGAUUCUGAAAUGGGAGCAGGGUCCACCAAAACUCUGCUUUUCAGAGAGCUCACACCCUAGGGGAGUAUAAAAGUGACGAGGACACUGGAGCUGGCAGGCAAGACCCAGGAUGCCAAAAUUAGGGCCCCUAAACACAGCAGGGAGGGUGAGCUAUCCUCUUGUGAGGUGGGAGGAGGGUCUCCGUGAGCAGGGCUCUUCUUGGGCCAAACCUGGAUCAUGAGGAGGAGGGAGAGAUGCUGAAUAUGACAUGUCAUUCAAAGUGCUGUCUGGAAAUUUGAGUUCGUUUCUUCAGUAGAGGCAGCACAGGUUAAUCAGACAAACCAGCCAUCAACAGGCUUCCUUUGAGGAGCUUGGUAAGAAUGGAAAACCCAGGGCUGAGGGGCUUACAGAGCUUACAGAGCAGCACAGUAUCAGGGGCCCAAGGCACCAGGAGCUCCUCUGGAAAUUGGCGGGAACAGCUGGAGCAAAGCCGAGGUGAUGGUACCCCUGGUGGCGGGACGGCAGCGACCCUCCAUGGUAUAAGGAGUGGUGAGACCCCAAGGGACAGUGUGCAAGGACUCUGAUGGCAGCAACACUCCUCUAGGAGCUGAUGAGAAAGGCCUGGAAUCCCAAGAUGCACCCCUGAGGUUCAACUCCUACCCUGAUCAUCUCCUCCAAGAUUCUGUGACCUGGGGAAGUCAACAGUACAUUUCAACACCUAUGAUGUCAGCAUGUGAAUGACAUUCCAAUGCUGCUCAUGGGGUCACCCCUGCAAAGGUGAACUCAGUGGAAAGACCUUGCCAAACCGGAAGGAAAACAGGAUACUUUUCUCCAAAAUACUCAUUCAAUAAAUAUUUGCUUAGGCAUUACAAAGACAAAUAAGACUUGCCCCUACCUGUUAGAGGUAUGUAUGUCGAGAAAAGGAAGGAGUGAUUCAAUAAGAGAAACAGCAUUCAGGGAAGAGAAAGAAGGAAGACAUAAAAAUUCAGGUCAUAUUAGAAUAAUAUAUAUAACAAUGAGUUUGGCUAUAUUUCAGAAUUUUCCCAAAAUAUUUCUUUCAAAUUUGAUUGACAUUCUAAACUAUUUAGCUUGAUAUAAAUGAGAUCUUUGUGUACCCUCAGCAGGAACUGCAUUUUAGCUGGUUUUAAAUCUCAACAAUCACUUUCCUGCCUUGGAGAAGGUAUGAACCAGGCUGUUUAUGUAGAAUCCAGGUGGGUUUGAGAGCAGCUUCAGCUGAAUGGAGAGUGACAGGGAGGCUGAGGAAGGGAGGGAGGGGACCCAUGGGCUGUCAUACCCGGGGACUUAGGAAGGCUCUUGCUCUUGCUGGAAGGGUUGCAAAUCCCUAAACCAAGUAAUCCCAUCCCUAAACCAAGUAAUCCCAUUAAAACAUGAAACAUCCAGAGUAAAAUUAAGUUUAGAAUACUAUUUGCAAAGCCAAACAUAGUCUUACCAUAGGAUCCAGGCAUCACACUCCUUGGUAUUUACCCAAAUGGGUUGGAAACUUCCAUAUAAAAAUCUGCACACAGGCCGGGUACGGUGGCUCACGCCUGUAAUCUCAGCACUUUGGGAGGCUGAGGCGGAUGGAUCACCUGAGGUCGGGAGUUCAAGACCAGCCUGACCAACAUGGAGAAACCCUAUCUCUGCUAAAAAUACAAAAUUAGCCAGGCGUGGUGGCACAUGCCUGUAAUACCAGCUACUCAAGGGGCUGAUGCAGGAGAAUUGCUUGAACCCAGGAGGCAGAGGUUGCGGUGAGCCGAGAUUGUGCCAUUGCACUCCAGCCUGGGCAACAAGAGUGAAACUCUGUCUCAUAAAAUAAAUAAAUAAAUAAAUAUAAACCUACACACAGGCCAGGCAGGGUGGCUCACCCUGUAAUCUCAGCACUUUGGGAGGCCGAGGCGGGUGGGGUGGAUCACGAGGUCAGGAGAUCAAGACCAACUUGGCCAAGACGGUGAAACCUCAUCUCUACUAAUAAUACAAAAAUUAGCUGGGCAUGGUGGCACAUGCCUGUAAUCCCAGCUACUCAGGAGGCUGAGACAGGAGAACCGCUUGAACCAGGGAGUCGGAAGUUGUGGUGAGCCGAGAUCACACCACUGCACUCCAGCCUGGUGACAGAGUGAGACUCUGUCUAAAAAAAAAACCUGCACACAAAUAUUCAUGGUAGCUUUAUUCAUACUUGCCAAAACCUGGAAGCAACCAAGAUGUCCUUCAAUAGGUGAAUGGGUAAAUAAACUGUGGUACAUCCAGACAAUGCAAUAUUAUUUGGUGAUUAAAAAAAAAGAAAUGAGUUAAAAUCUUGGAUUUCUUUUUUUUAAAUGAGUUAUAAAGCCACAGAAAGACCUUAAAUACAUAUUGUUAAGUGAAAGAAGCCAGCCUGCAAAGCUACAUCUAUACAUGACUGUAUGACAUUCUAGAAAAGGCAAAACUAUAGAGACAGUGAAAACAUCAGGGAUUGCCAGGGGUUAAGAGGGAAGGAAGGAUGAAAAGGCAGAGGACAGAGGAUUUUAAGGCCGGUGAAACAAUUCUAUAUCAUACCAGAAUGGUGGAUAUAUGGGCUGGGGCUCAGAAAACAAUACCCCCAAAUGAAUGCCUCAGAAGCAAAAGUUUCUCCUGCCCUCCCAUCCCUGACCUCAUUCUCCCCCAAGGUUAGCCAUAGAAACCAGAAGUCCUCUUUCCCAAGGUGGGUCAUAGAAACUUCCAAACCCCUUUUCCCCAAAGCCAGUCAUAAAACCUAAAAAUAUGACUCUAACUUCCACCCCCACCCCACCACCUUUCUGUGUAAAAAUGUGUCAUAAGGAAAUCAUCUAACCUGCCUUGUUUGGUUGUCGGUCGUAAGACCCCCAUUCGAGAGAGGGCCCUGCCCCGUACCCAGCAGGAAGCAAUGCUGCCCAGAGAGGCCACGAGGAAUCUAGACAGGGCUUGCUGGGGGGCCCCACUCACUCUAUGAGCAUUAGCUCAUUCCCUUUUUUGUCCAAUCACAUUUCUAAAUAUUUUGUUGCACCUAAGCUUAAAAGUGGGCAGAGUCCCCUGCAUCUCUGGGUCUUCGUUCUGAAGGCUCCCCUGUCAUGUAACACUAUGACCAAAUAGAUGUGUGUGCCUUUUCUCCUAUUCAUCUGCCUUUUGUCUGUUAAUUUUCAGUGAAACUUCAGAGGGUGAAGGGGAAGUUUUCCUUGGCCCCUACACGUGUCAUUACAAACCCAUAGAAUGUACAAUGCCAAGAGUGGACCUUAGUGCAAGCCAGGGACAUUAGUCAGUAAUAAUGUUCCACGCUGACGCACAAAUGAAAGUUAUUUUAUUUGUGUGAACAGGAGAGCUGACAUGGUCUGUAUUGAUAUCUCCUGGGCAGGGAGGUGGUGAGCACGGCCCCAGAAUUCUGAACUGCCAGGAGCCAGGCAGCUUUGCAUCCUGGAGCUUGGCCAAUUCAGCCGCCCAAGUUCUGGCCAUGGGUCUGCAGCCCCCUGGCCCUUGCCUGCAUAAGCAGGAGAUGAAUGAGAGGAAGCAGAACUCACACAGGAGGCAGGAGGAAGCCACCAGGAAGCUCACUGGCUCCAGGGGCAGCAGAUCUGGGAUGGGGUCCCAGUUCUCUCCUUCCUCAUUCAUGAAAUGGGGCAAUAACAGUACUUACUUCAUUGGAGGUUCUUGGAGGGAAUAAAAGAGAUAUUAGUUAAAGGCAUGGAGCACAGUCCCUGGCACACUGAAAAAGUUUCAUAAAUGUUACCAAUUAAUUGUUUGUAUUAUAUAAUGUCUUCCUGAUAGGUUUUUGGGAAGGAAUAAAUCAAAGGUGAGAAAAUAUAUACAAAAACCUGACUGAGCGAGAACAUAGCUUACACACAAGAAGUGGCAGCUUGGUGAGCACACUGCUAUGUCAUGUUGUGCCUAGUCAUGACAUAGCCAAGGACUGAUACAGGCGCUCCCAUAACCCAUGGAUGGAUUCCUGCUGGACUCUAUUCAUGAAGGUUCUGAUUCUAAUUUUUUUAAAUCCAUGGAUAAAACAGCUACCAGAAAAUCCCAUUUGGGUUUGCAUGUUGUUCUUUGGCUUCGGUGGACAGCAAUCAUAUCAGUUGCAUUUCCCGAGCUAGAGCUCUGAGGCUUAGUCAUCCCCCUCCCUGGCUGGCUUCCAUGCUGUCUGCAGUGGGAGCAUCUUUUAUGAGAUGACAGGAGGGGACUUCAUGGAUGUGCAGCCUGGGCUGCUGGUACUGCCGGGGCUGCUGGUACUGCUGGGACUGCAGGAGAGGGAUGGUUUCUAUUAAUCCUCACAAUGGGAGGGUCCAGUGGGCUGUCACAGCACAGGCAGGGAAUCACAGGCCUCCCUGGGUGACCAGCUGUCCUGGCUGCUACCAGAUUCGGACUCCAGCAGGCUUUCCCUGGGGGCAGAGAUGACCUUGAUCUCUGGGCAGCUAGGCUUCAUGUCCUUGAUAUUUGUGGCCCUGCAUUGUUGGGGCACAGGAUGCAGAGCUGGGGAUGACUGAGCUUAAACUCCUGCUGCUAUGGAGGGCUGCCUCCUUGCCCUGAAUGCCCUGGGAGCCCUUUUAAAAACACAGGUCCAAGGAGUGAUAACAUGAGGGGCAGCACCUCUGGCCCCUGAGAGAGAAACUUGUCCAGUGAUAUGUGCACAAGCAACAUCUCCAGGCAUUCCUUCCAGACAAGGCAAGAGGCCCCCCAGGUGUGAUAUGUUAGCUACACAUGGGCUUGGUCUGUACUGCAAAUGUGUACUCAGUGAUGGGGCCAUUAGAUAUUUGGUUUCUACAUUGCUGCGAUGAAAAUUUACAAAGAACGUUCAUGGGGAAACCAGCUCCCAUCCAUGGGCAGCAGAGGAAUGUUGUCCAAGACUUACAUGGACAGGUAAGACUAAGGUCUCAUCCCAUACUCAGCAGUUCUGUGACCUUUUACAGAACAUAGGGAGGCAAGAAGGGAAAUGAGCCUUAGUUAGCCUCAGGGAGAACCAAGCCAGGUCUGUUUAGGGUCACCACCUUCACUGAACUGCCCUCCACUGGAGGCUAGGAACUGCAGGACAUGAGUUCAACAUCAAAAUAGUAAAAAUAGUGGCAAAUGUUUAGCAGUGUUUGCAACAUAUCAGGUGUCACAGCAACCUCUGCAGGAGAGGUGAGCAGGGCUAAUAUUUAGCAGGUGCACCCUUGUACUGGCUGCCUGCCAUUUAAUAGGUUAGUGCCUCAGCUGGUUAUUGAAUAUUUUCAACAUCGGCCCUGGGUACUAAGAUUAGUUCCCAUUUUACUGAUUAGGAAAUCGAGGUUAAGAGAGGGUAGGCGAUUUGCCUGAGAUCACACAGCCUCGUGUGUGGCAGAGCCUUAGAUUCCAAGCCAGGCUGUCCGAUGCCAGACCUUCACAGCUAUCCUAUGCUUCCACGGCACCCCGGACUUCCCCUUGGAGCACUUGCCAGUGAAACAAACAUGCCCUGGAGAAAUGCCUGGGAGUCCCACAGUGGGUAGGAGCACCAGCUGUUCAACAAGAGAAGACCAUUAGGCUUCAGGAGGGAGAGGAAGUUUUUUUGGGAAUGAGAGGACCAAGAGAAAUGAGGCACAGGGGAGAUCGGCCCCAAGGCUUGUCCUGAAAAAAGAACAUCAUCUUCUUCUAAGGUCCCGAGCGUGGGAUUUAUCUGACACAUUCUUCCACAUGCUUAUUGCAGGAGGAGCGUUGUGUUAAGUGCUUUGCAUGCAUUAAUUAUCUCAUUUAAACCAAAACCAACCCAGUGUGGCUGAGUGACUAUAUGAUGUCCAUUUUACAGAUGAGGAAAGGGAGGCUGAGAGAGCUUAAAGGACACACCACUUUUGAGUGGCAGAGCUAGGAUGCAAACCAGACCUGACUGCUGUUAAAGCUUGUGAUGUUUGUAGUCAUUCUUCUAUACUGUACCCUCAUAGGAAGUUCAAAAACAGAGAGGGUGGGAUUUGGUCUUUGGCUUUUGUUUAAAUGUAUGUUUUUAUAGAUAUAUUUCCUUAGCCCAUGCUAUGAACCAGGAGUUUCCAUUUGUUUAUUUAACUGAUUUAUUAAGCCUUUUUAGGGGCCAGCCCAGGUUCUGGGCACAAGCUGGAGAAGGAGAGCUGCUGCGGUCCCUAACUCAUGCCUCUUGCGGCAGUGGGUGGGUGUGAAGAGGGAGGAGGGGAGGAGGUGGUGAGAAGUCUGCUUCACAUUAUUCAGAGUUUCCUGUGAGCCAGGCACUGUGCCUGGGGCUAAGUGAUUAUAUCAUUUAGCCCUCCCAAUAGACUCUCAGGUAGACGCUCUCUUAUUUCCACUUUUUCCCAUUUACAGAUGGGGAAAUGAAGACUUAAGAAACUUAGGUAAUCUGCCCAAAGGCUUAUAGCCAAUACAUGGUAAAGCUGAGAUGUGAACUCAAGUAUCUGACUCCAAAGCCUGGGUUUUUUCUCUUUCUCUCUCUCUUUUUUUUUUUUUUUUGAGACAGGGUCUCACUCCUUCACCCAGUCUGGAGUGCAGUGACAUGGUCAUAACUCACUGUAACCUCAAACUCCUGGGCUCAAGUGAUCCUCCUUUCUCAGCCUCCUGAGUAGCUGGGACUACAGGCACACACUUUUAUGCCUGGAUAAUUUUUGUACUUUUUUUGUAGACAGGGUCUUACUGUGUUGCCCAGGCUGGUCUGGAACUCCUAGGCUAAAAUGAUCCUCCUGCCUCAGCCUCCCAAAUUGCUGGGAUUACAGGUGUGAGCCACUGUGCCCGGUCAAAGCCUGUGCUUUGAUUUGCCACCUAAUCCUCCUCCGUUUUAUAUGUAAUGUUAACCCCAAACCUGCAGGGUAGCCGUUAUCAGCCUCAUUUAACUGACAGGGAAGCCCAGUCUCAGAGGGGCCAGAUGCGUGCCCAAGGCCUUGCUGGGAAGAAUGGGAUUCUGGGCCCAGGCAUUCCAGCGCCAAGUCCAGGGCGUGAUUGUUACUCUGCAGUCCCUCUCUGUGACAAGAGCCUCACCGGGAACUCGGGGGUGGGGGCUCCCCCAAGCCUCCUGGCUGGACCCCAUUCCAAGCGUUAGUGUAACAGAUGUUGUGUGGCGGGAGUCUGUUGUGCUCCUGGUGUGUGGCUGGGAUUCAGAGGUGUCUUCAAGCGCUCUAGGAAGCCGGCGGGCGGGGCCAUGGCCGCAGAAGUGAGUGCAGGGAUGGAGAAUACAGGGAGUCCCUUGACCGGAGGAGACUUUGGAGGCAUUUGUGCUGUUCGCGUGAACUCCGCGUCCAUGGCCUACCCUGUGAUUGUCAUCAUUUCUAUGUGAGAAAAAAGCGGCUACUGAUUCACAGCGAAAGGAAACGGACUAGGUUCUGAAACUUCCUGUUUGUCUGGUAUCUGCAAAGAUAUGUGUGUUAUGCAAAUACCCUGACUCCCCAGAACUGCAGGUGUGUACAAACACACACACGCACGCACACACACACACACACACACACACACACACACACCCUCUGCUUGGCCCCAUGCAGUGGGUCUCCUCUGUACCCAGUAAACUGAAACAUGACUCUACUAACAUGGUAGCCAGGACACUGGGGACUCUGCUGUCGGAAUCCCUGAUCAUAGAGACAGCAGCUUUGGCCUUCGGCUCAAAGAGCUUCACAGAUGUCCCUUGUAGGCGAGUCCUGGCUCUGGCUCCUGGCCCACUGCAGAGCCUGGGAGUGAGGCAGGCAGAUAGGCGAGGGGGUCUCACCCAGGCCCAGGAACUCCAUUUUCUCUCAGCCCCAUUCCUCCCUCCCUCGGCUCCCUGACCGUGCUGAACGCAGCUCCCAAGCAGGGGGAGAGUCCAGAUAAUGGCAGAUGUUGAUUGUUUCCUGUUGGUUCACUGUGUCCUUUUGGCAGGCCUUUCUUUCUUUCAAAAUAUAUUCAGGUUUGAGCCUAGCACUGCAGCUUGCUGAGUGGGUCUAUGCUUCCAUAGAGCAGUGGCUUCGGGCACAGGCCUGAGACCCAGCCUGCCUGCGGGCUGCUAGCUGCCAGCUACCUCUGCACUAGGAAGGUUUUUAAACAGCUGAAUGCAAGCUUCAGCGUUAAUAGGUGAAAGUGAAAAUGACAUGUGACUUCUAGACAAUUCUCAUAGAUUCAAAAUAAUUGUUCUCUGUAAUGAGUAAAAUAACACUCUUGCAACAGCUGAAUGCUUUUCUCAUAUUCUGAGUUGCCCGAAUUAGGGGAAAUGGGUCUAAAUGGCUGCAAGAGGCAGUUUUGUCAGCUAGACGUCUUUUUACAAGUAUAUUGCAUCCUUCAGUCUCUUCCUGCCCCACCCUAAGACCCUCACCUGGGAAAUGGGAGGAUGGCUUGGAAGGCAAUUGUCAGGCCUCUGAGCCCAAGCUAAGCCAUCAUAUCCCCUGUGACCUGUACAUACACAUCCAGAUGGCCCGGUUCCUGCCUUAACUGAUGACAUUCCACCACAAAAGAAGUGAAAAUGGCCUGUUCCUGCCUUAACUGAUGACAUUACCUUGUGAAAUUCCUUCUCCUGGCUCAUCCUGGCUCAAAAGCUCCCCCGCUGAGCACCUUGUGACCCCCACCCCUGCCCGCCAGAAAACAACCCCUUUGACUGUAAUUUUCCUUUACCUACCCAAAUCCUAUAAAACAGCCCCACCCCUAUCUCCCUUCGCUGACUCUCUUUUCGGACUCAGCCCGCCUGCACCCAAGUGAAAUAAACAGCCUUGUUGCUCACACAAAGCCUGUUUGGUGGUCUCUUCACACGGACGUGCGUGAAAGCGAUGAAGCUGAGGUUGCAGGAAAGGAGUGAUCACCUGGCUCAGAGCUGGGCCCUAAAAGUCUAGGCCAGAGCCUCCCUGUUGUGAAAGGGAGUGGAAGGAGAAGGGGCUGGGAUGGGUCAAACUGGGUGGAAAGCUAGGCUCUGCUGUUUAGAAGCUGUAUGAUCUUGAGCAAGUUGCUUAACCCUUGCUAAGCCUCAGUUUCCCUUCCUGCAGAAAGGGAUUAUCAUGGGGACGAAAGGGGAUCCAGAACCUGGAGUGGAGGAUAGGGUGGGUAAGUGGAAGGUGUCAUGAGGACAACAUAUGCUGAGACACUCACCACCCUUUCUGAGGGCGCCUCAGCAGCAGGUCACAUGGUGCCUGAAACUCGUUUUUCUGAGUUGUGCUGGUUUGUGGAAUGAAAAGGGAAGCCAGGCUUCCUUCUUACUAGCUCUGACUGCCUUGUUUUAAGGAUCAUUCACCUUCCCUAAGGAUGGGAUAAAGCCUUCCUGUAGAGCAGACCGAUCUCCUUCUUUAUCCCUACAGUUCUCCCACCGUGGCCAUGGCCUUGGGGGCUGUUCUGACUCUUACAUUUAUAUAUCACUCCUACUUUCCCAGCCAGCAGGAUAGAAAACCUGAGAAGGGAAUUCUGCCUUAUAAACAUUUCUUACAGAUGGGGCAGACAGGUUGUUUCUUUUUUACCAAGGAAGCUCAGGGCAAUUCUGGUUGCAGGAAUGUUAAGCACUGAUAAAGAAGAGAAGAAAAAAUAUUCACCCUCCAGGGCCUGGAAUUUCCCCAUUCCUGAGCCCUGGCUUCCCUGUCUGAGAUAGAGACUGUCAGUCAGUCACCUACCAAUUCCCAAUUUCUCUUUCUGCUUUACUAAAAGUACUUGAUUUGGGAUGGGGGUGGGGGGUGGCAGGCAGCAAUACAUCCAAGUAAAAGACUGUACUUCCCAAAUCUCUUGAAACUAGGGACAGCCAAUGAGGUAUAAAUGAAAAUUAUUGGGGCUGGGGUCCCAAAAGCUUCUCUCUCUUUUUUGAGACAGAGUCUCAGUUUGUCAUCUAGGCUGGAGUGCAGCAGCAGGAUCACAGCUGUAAAAUCAAAAGUGUCAAAGACAGGUCUCAAUCAAUUUAGAAAGUUCAUUUUGCCAAAGUUAAGAGCACACCUUUAACCUCAGGUGAUCCUGACAGCAUGUACCCAAGGUGGUUGGUGCCCAACUUGGUUUUAUACAUUUUAGGGAGCAUAAGGCAUCAAUCAAUAUGUGUAAGAUGUACAUUGGUUUGGUCUGGAAAGGUGGGACAACUGAAAGGUGGGACUUCCAAGUCAUAGGUGGAUUCAAAGAUUUUCUGAUUGGCAAUUGGUUGAAAGAGUUAUUAUCGAUAGAAAAGAAUGUCUGGGUUAUGAUGAGGGGUUUUGAAGGGAGGAGGGUAGAAUGAGGCAUGUCUGACUCCCCCUUCCCAUCAUGGCCUGAACUAGUUUUUCAGGUUAACUUUGGAAUGCCCUUGGCUAAGAGGAAGGGUCCAUUCAGAUGGUUGGCGGGGGGGCCUUAGAAUUUUAUUGUUGGUUUACGUGGCUCAGUGCAGCCUUCACCUCCUGGGCUCAAGUGAUCCUUCCAUCUCAGCCUCUUGAGUAGCUGUGGCCACAGGUGCAUGCCACCAUGCCUGGCUAACUUUUUUUUUUGGUAGAUAUGGGGUCUUGCCAUGUUGCCCAGGCUGGUUUUGAAUUCCUAAGCUCAAGUUAUCCUCCUGUUACAGGAAAGGGGUCCUGAUCCAGAUCCCAAGAGAGAGUUCUUGGAUCUCACACAAGAAAGAAUUCGAGGUGAAUCCAUAGAGUAAAGUGAAAGCAAGUUUAUUAGGAAAGUAAAGAAAUAAAAGAAUGGCUACUCCAUAGGCACAGCAGCUUCCAGGGCUGCUGGCUGCCCAUUUUUAUGGUUAUUUCUUGAUUAUAUGCUAAUUAUUUAGUGUUUGCAAAAAUAGCCAGGCUAUAAGGGGUGGAUUAUUCAUGAGUUUUGUGGAAAAGGGGUGGGCAAUUCCCAGAGCUGAGGGUUCCUCCCAUUUUUAGACCAUAUAGGGUAACUGCCAGAUCUUACCAUGGCAUCUGUAAACUGCCAUGGUGCUGAUGAGAGUGUCUUUUAGCAUGCUAAGGCAUUAUAAUUAGCAUAUAAUGAGCAGUGAGGACAAUCAGAGAUCACUCUUAUCACUAUCUUGCUUUUGGGGGGUUUUAACCAGCUUCUUUACAGCAGCCUGUUUUAUCAGCAAGGUCUUUGUGACCUGUUUCUUGUGCUGACCUCCUAUGUCAUCCUGUGACUUAGAAUGCCUACCCUUCUAGGAAUGCAGCCUAGUAGUUCUCAGUCUUAUUUUACCCAGCCCCUACUCAAGAUGGAGUCCCUCUGGUUCAAAUGCCUCUGACACUCCCACCUCAGCCUCCCAUAGUGCUGGAAUUACAGGCUUGAGCCACUGCACCUGGCCUUAAAAGCUUCUUAAAGGGAUCUAAGAAAUUGACUCUCCCCACCCUCUUUCUUAACCGUAAAACACUAAUGUAAUGGCUGGAGUUCUAGCAACCAUAUUGGGCCAUGAGGCAACCUUGAAAAAGGAAGCCACAAACUAAAACAUUGACUCUCAACCUUUAAUGCUGAAAAAAGAAAAAGUAUCCCCUGACAUCCGGGAAAUGGCCUGACACUUUGAGCUAGGGCUUAAUCUUAUUAAAAGCUUGCCUGGCUAUUUUUGCAAACACUGAUGUCAGUCGCCAGUCUGCAACUGUGAUGAAGAGGUCAAAAGAGACCCCUUCCUAACUCUGUCUAAGCACAAACAACUCCACAAAACACUAGACACACCCCCUUCUGGCUCAUUAAGUGACAGGGGCCUCCUUAUCAACUAUAACUAUAGCCUUGAUCUUGUCUUCUGUCCUUAUAGAUAAGAUUUACUAACAUACCCAGCUGCAGAAUUGUCCCAUUUCCAGACAGCAGACAAUGCAGAGCAAGCCCUUCCCUCCUAGACCCUCCCCAAAUUCACCUAACCAAAGCCCAAAGCCUAAAAGUCCCUUUGAACACCUUUUUAGUGAAAUGGUGCCCCCAUGAUAUCUUCCUCAUUGCAACCAGUAAUAAAGCCAACUUGUUCAAAUGCCGGUUUGCAAAUAAAUCACUUGGGGAUUUGUUAAAAUGCAGACUGUGGUUCAGUAGGUCUGAAGUAGAGCUUAUUCUGUGUUUGCCACAAGCACCCAGUGAGGCACUUGCUGCUGGACCAUGGUCCCACUUUGGGUAGCAAGGCAGUUAAGGGUGGCAGAUUAGAACACUGGACAUGCUUAACCUUGACCAUGGGACCACUGUAUGCAUCCUGUUGUUUCUCAGUGAAAAUAUGCCUGUAUUUCAUGUAAGCCCCCGCUAUAUAUGUUGGCUACUAGCAACUUAACCAACACGUUGUCCUUGUCCUUAGAAAAUGUGUGGUUACAGCCAGGUGUGAGCAGGCCUAGACCAGGCUUGGGGAUUUAUUGACCAAAUGUGGUGCCUUUGAGGUGAAACCACAAGUAAUCAGAGAAGCUGAGUCACUCCACUUAGUGGACUGGUGGAAAAUUCUCAAAUGGUCUUAAGCUGGCCCCAUGUUGGGCUGAGGACUAGAGAUCUCAGAGGCUCCACCUGCCCAUCCAAUUGCAGGUGUCUGGGCCUGGCCCCACCUUGCCUUCCUGCUCCAUUGCUCACCAUUCCACACCCAAAGGCACCAUGAUGUUUUGUACCUCCUUGCCUUUGCUCUUCCCUUUGCCAGGGAUGCCCUUCCCACCUUCCUCCACGUGGCUAACCCUCCCUCAGCUCUGCUUCCAGGGUGUCUCCCCUGGUCGCCAAGGGCUGGCUAGUGCCUCUUCUUUGCUCCCAGGGCACCCUGUGCCUUUCUGUGCCCCAACUAUUUCCCAGUUUGUAGCAGUUAUUUAUUUUGUGGUCAUCUUCCCACUGGUCGUCAGCUCCUAGAGGGCAGGGAUCAUGUUUUGGGUUAUUCAUCACUGCAUCCCCUGACAUAGUCCCCAAACCUCGAGAACUAUGAAACUGCACCAAAGGUUCCAGCUCCCCCACAGCCUGCCCUUAACCUUGAGCCAUUUGAAGGGAGAGUAUGAGACAAUAGUGAAAGAAACCCUUCUCUAAUGUUUUCCCCAUUUAGGUUAUGUGAAGUUGGCAGUUCCCAAGGGCUUUAGGCUUGAAGCUGUGGGUCAUACCCCUUCGGAAACUUGGUCCCCAAGAGAAAUGUAUGCUUCUGAAAACCACAGGUGCAUGAAUCGUGUUUAGUAAAUGACUACUAAACUGAAAUCAGGACUUGUCUAUAUCUUGGCUUCUCAAACUUGAAUAUGCUUAUCAUCUGGAUAGCAAAAGCAUUCCUACACGUUGAGGCCUGCCAGCGUGGGUGUCACCCAGGAGCCACUCGGAAAGGCUCAUCGGAAACCACCCCGGACUGACUGAGGCAGAAUCUCUGGGGGCAGGACCCAGGCCUCAGCAUAAAAACUCCAGGUGACGGAAGAGCUCCCACCUAACAGAAAGAAAAUAAAAGAGACUGAGAAACCACAGAAAUAAAGAAGCGCUGAUGACAAUGCCUGCUUGCUGAUGGUUACGAUGAUCAUAGCAGUGUGCAUUUUGUAUGCAUGAAGCCUGCGACUAAAUAAACGUGUGGGGAAAUAUUUGUAAGGAAAUAAGCUAUUAAUAAAAUAAGCUAAAAUCACAGUUGCUGGACUAUGACUGAUUUUUCCCCUUUCUCUCAUUUAAAAUUAAAUAUUUGUAUGACUUGUAUAAUAGAAAAAUACAUGUAUUCAAUCUUAAAAAGAUAUUCUUAUUUUACACUUUACGGGACAAAAGAGGUUGUAGGUUGGAAUGGUUCAGUCCCCUUGUGACAACUCAAAAACAGAGACCUUAAGCCUUUCUCAACCAAUGUUGCGGGACAAGCAGGCGUGUGAGGCGACAAUGCCAUUAGGGUAUUUUUUGGAAAAAUUUUAGUGUGAGAGACAAAAGCCAAAUUCAAACUGGCCUGAGCCAAAAUAGGUAGGAAAGGGAGAAGCGGAGACAGGGAGGAAGAAAGAGAGAGAACAGAAAGAAAAAGGGAGAAAUGUCGAAAGGCAAAAUUACAACACAUUUAGUUAAAUGAUUGAAUUGGUUUUUAUUUGUAAUUCAUGAAUUGGGGCAGCAUCUCCUCUAAAACUUUAGGAAAAGUGCUCUGAUGAGCUAAACAGAGAAGCUUGGCUUUAUAGGCAGAAAAGGGUGAAGAAAGCAGACACAGGGAACAAAAAGCAGAUUGGUAAGCUCAGGUUACUUCAGGUUACUUUCCUUAUAAAGGUUAAAGUAGAGGGGACUUCCUUAUCAUGCUGGCUACAACUGGCCUGUUUGGGGAUUUGCAUAUUAUCUCUCUCUGUCUUGAGUUCUGGGAAGGUCUGAUGACUUAGUUUCAGUUUGGUGAUAUGGAACUUAGCAUGAGUGACUCCAUCUUGGUUUGGUCUACUGGGGCCUCCUGCAGGAGCUCAGCCCAAAUCAGUGACCUCCUAUAAAUUUCAUUUAAUAGAAAAGGAAGGAAGGAAGGAAGGAAGGAAGGAAGGAAGGAAGGAAGGAAGGAAGGGAGGGAGGGAGGGAGGGAGGGAGGGAGGAAGGGAGGAAAGAAGGAAGGAAAGAAAGAAAGUUGCUUAUAAGUUGCUUAUAACUAAAAAGACCAGCUGGACCCAGGAGCUCUGAGGUUGCUUUCAGGCCUCUGUCCAUCUCUUAGUUUUCCAUCCUCAGACAGGCUCUGCCCUGCCUUACAGUCUAGCAUUGUUGGCCAAAGGUGACUGACUGGCCCAGCUUGGGCUAUAUGUCCUUCCCUGUGGCCAGAGAGAUGUGUCUCUGUGAUGGCCAGGCUUGGGUCACGUACUCCCUCCCCUACCAGAAUCACAUGAAAAGAGGGAGGAAGAGCCGCUUUCCACCAAAGGAAACUGAAGUGCUAUUGUCAGAGGGGUUGCUGGGCAGACCAAAAAGAUGACAAUAUCUGCUCCAAUCGCUCGGGUUGUUGGUGCUUGGCAGAUUUGCCCCUACGUCACUUUUCAGAUGUGGAUAAGACUGAAGGUGACCACAGGCUUCCGAGAGGAAAGCUGCCAAUGGGGGUGUGAGAGGAGGGGGAAUUCUUACUCACCAAGGUUAACACUGUGCACACUGUUCUCCGAGGAAGUGGGAAUUUCCACAUGGUGAGUUCCCUUCCCUGUACAAUGAAUUACUAUCUUGAUGAGAAACCCGUGGGCAGCUGGUUGAGAAGAGAAAGGUAUUCUCUGAAUGAGAGGGAAUUUACCACCUUCCUUUCAAUGGUGACAGUUUUUUCUGGUGUCACCGCAGGGUGUGGAUUGAUUCAUAUACAAAUAUACAUAUCUACAUAGAUGCCAUUCUGCUAGCCUCUGCAAAAUGCAUGCCUGGAGACCAUUUCUGCUGCCUAGGAGAUGUCAACUUUGUCACCACCACUCUCUCUCCACCACUCCCACACCCUGCAGGGGCCAGGUGUGUGGGUGGGGAGCUCCCCAGCUGGAGGCCAGAUUAGAGGUCUCUGUGUGGUGGGGAUGGGGAGGAUGGGGUGGGAAUGAGGUGGUAGGCCACUGGCAGUGGUCCAAGUUCCAUCCAGGAUCUGUCCUAGGCCUCUCCCCAGGCUGUCGCUUCCACCAUUGAAUUUCUAACCUGGAUCUCUAAGGUUAUGAAUAUCUCAUUCCCGCAUCCUGGGGUGCUCAGACAUGUCUCCCCUGAGUCUCUAGCUGGGCUCGUGGCUGUGAUCAUUGUCCUCAGAGUUCCAUCCUCCCAACAAAGGGACAGAAGAAACACAGGGCCCACUUUUCUGGAUUCUGAGUUGGAGCCAAGAAAUUCUAUCUGCUGCUUCCUUCCUGUUGAAUUAUCCCCCAAGGACCCCUUAGUCCCUCCAGUCUCCUCCAGAGGCCUAUAGCUGCCCCAGCUCCCCAUGAUGGAUACCUGGCUCUUUCCUACCCAGAGGAAAACGCAGGCCCUUCCCCAGCCCUGCACUGAACUCCUGUGAGUGGCUGAGGAGAUGAGGAGGUGUGAAGAGUGAGUGUGUUGGGGAGGGAGGGGUCCCCUGCCACCAGGUACCAAGGACUUCUGCCAGAUCACCAGAACUGACACCUGGUUCCACCGGCCAGCUGUGAAGUGUCGGCCCUGACAUCAACAGCUGACCUCCCACAGGGCCUAAGGAAACGGAAUUGUGG